This 2436-nucleotide unclassified non-coding RNA is filed under the name Hevea brasiliensis (rubber tree). The record is from RNAcentral. Lineage: Eukaryota; Viridiplantae; Streptophyta; Magnoliopsida; Malpighiales; Euphorbiaceae.
CCAGUUUCCUCCAUCUACCAUUCAAUAGUUAGAUUAUUCUUUCUCGUGUUUCUUUUAUAAGCUUUUUAUUUCUGAUUUUUCGUCUCUUCACUUGCUUCCAUUCCUGUAUUUCAUCCUUCUUCCUGAUAAACUAGAUCCAUAUACACAGAGCAAGUAAUUAUCAGUGGUGAAAUAUCUCAUCAUUUUUGUGUGUGAUAGAUAUUUCUGAGAGAAGAGGAGGGGAAAGGCAAUUUUCUUUUUCUUCUCAACCAGUGUUUUCUGCUUACCAUAAUCAAUGGAGGAGUUUUCAGUUGGGAAAGUUGAUGUGACCCAGAAAGUGGGACCAGAUGAAGAAGACAACGGAGGACUUGUCAGAGAUUUUGAGGAACUCAAACCUGAAGUUGAAUCUGUGAAAGAAGUUGUAGAUGAGAAUUCUCAGUCUUUGAAAGAAACUCAUGAUAUGUUGAGUUCUGAUAGCGGCAACACUCCGGAGGAAGAGGCAGUUGAUAAGGAUCAGAGUCCUCCAGGAAAGGAUUCAGGGACAUUGAAGGAGGAGGUGGAGAAAGAGGUUACUAACAUCAUAGCGUCAGCUGAGCCUAUUGAAAGUUUGCCACAAGAACUGUCUUCGACUGUAGAGGCAUCAAUUGAGAAAUCAAAGGAAUCUGAUGCGAAUGAAGGGAAAAUCUUCCCAUCUUCAAAUGAGAACAAUGAGAUGGCCUCAGUAGCAGCAGAUGGGGUGUUCAAUGUAACGAAGAAAAUAAUUUCACCACCAACAACUCUGGAUGAGAUUGUUGGAGAUUUAUCUGAAGAGGUGUCAGGUGGACCUGAGGAAAUAAAGCUGCCAUCUUCUGAUGUUUCGAAUGUAAUUGAAACAGAUAUCGUUUCAGAAGUUCGAGGAAUUGAGGAGAAAGUGUUGCCAUCAUUGGAUGAAAAUGGUGGGGAGCCUCCAGCUUUAGCAGAUGUAGAGUCAAAGAGGGUUGAGGAAGCAAAAAUGGUUGCUUUGGAGGAUGACAAUGGAGAGUCCUCUGGCAUUGUUGAUAAAGAAUCUGUGGAAAGUGAUGAUGAUUCAUUGAAGCCAUCAAACAAUGCUUCUAUUAUUGGAAGCAGUGAUGGUUUCCCUGAGAGCACAGAACAUCCUCAUGUUAUAUCUCUAAAUCAGCGCACCCUGCAAGAUGCAUCUUUGAAGAGUUGCUGCGGCCUUUUUGAAGUUCUCCGGCGUUCAAAUGGGUGGCUCAAGAUAUGACAUAUAACUUCAGACAGCUACUAAGCUAUGAAGCUUGCGAAGCACAUAAUAUAUGGUUUCUAAAAUUUUCUGUAUAACAGUAUUGAAGAAUAAAAAUAUUUCAAGAUUACUGUAUGAAAUAAGUGUCAAAACCUGGUGGGCUGCUCAAGUUUGUUAUUUAUGUGGUGUGUUUGCUGUGGUUAACUGUUUGGUGGCUGAAAUCAACAUUAGUUUUUUCUCUAUAUUUUAACACUGUUAUUUAUUCAAUUGGAAGGAGCAUGGUCCAUGAGGAUGAUUACUUUAUAAUCCGCUUUGGCAUAUUGGAUUUCUAUUGAAUGAAGCAUUGAUUCAUAUGCCAAUGUGACUUGUUCUUCGAUCAUGACCUUUGGACUAUUAAUGCCGCUGUAACAGACACAUAGGAAGUCCCCUAGAGCAUUUGAACACAAGCACCAGUUUCGAGAAAUAUGAUCAGGGACUGGUACUUUCUCCAGGAAUUUCUCUUCUGCCAAAUCAAAUAAAACAAUGACAAACCUUUUAGGUUUGGGUCAUUUUAUUCAACCAGCCAAUGCAGAACCCCAUUUAGAUAAGUAGCUGAGCCCUUGAAGGCAACACGACAAUGCAGAUCUCGAAUUCUUCUCCACUCGUUACAUUUCAAGGUAAAGACCUCCAUUUCAACUUCAGAACUUGAAUCAGAGAUGACUCCUCUUACUACUUUGUAAUAAUCAAGGUAAGAUUCAUAUCCAAAUCCGGAAAAUACCUGAUCAUCUGGAACACAACAACUCGGCACAAGCAACUCCUUGGAUUCUCCGGUAGAUGGAUUCCCCGGUAGAUGGAUUCCGCGCAAUGAUUUGUGGGUUAGAGUAAAAAACUGCAGUAAUCAAGCCAUCGCACGAUCCCUCGAGAUGGAGAUCACUUUCAAGAAUCCUUACUGGAUAUCCGAGCUUCCUAAAUACAAUAGUGUCGUCGACAUCACAGUACGCUUGGUGAUCUAUGGACCAUAACGGAGACGUGGUGAGAAAGAGCCUGUGGCGAUUGUCAGUUGUGUCUUGCUUCGCAUGUGGCAAUUCGAGGAUCGUUGGAGAUCAAAGAAUGCUGAGAUUUGCCCACAUAGUUGAAACGUAGUAGAGGCUUCAUAGGUAGCCUUGAAAGGAUGCCGAUGUGUUACGUGAUUUUCCAGCCACAAGAACACAAUAACAGGAAGAACGAAAAAGGAGAAUCAAUAGAAUUCAGAGAGA